Molecule: non-coding RNA, 305 nt
Filed under: Nomascus leucogenys (northern white-cheeked gibbon)
Lineage: Eukaryota; Metazoa; Chordata; Mammalia; Primates; Hylobatidae
Source: RNAcentral
AAUUCCAGCGAGAGGCAGAGGGAGCGAGCGGGGCGGGCCGGCUAGGGUGGAAGAGCCGGGCGAGCAGAGCUGCGCUCCGGGCGUCCUGGGAAGGGAGAUCCGGAGCGAAUAGGGGGCUUCGCCUCCGGCCCAGCCCUCCCGCUGACCCCCCAGCCAGCGGUCCGCAACCCUUGCCGCAUCCACGAAACUUUGCCCAUAGCAGCGGGCGGGCACUUUGCACUGGAACUUACAACACCCGAGAAAGGACGCGACUCUCCCGACGCGGGGAGGCUUAUUCUGCCCAUUUGGGGACACUUCCCCGCCGC